GUAGGUGAACCUGCGGAAGGAUCAUCACUGCAUAAUCCGCCUUUCUACACCUCUGUGGACUGACUGGUCGGGGCUGAUGGGCCGGUUGCGGCCUGGACGCGCCGACGUCUUUCAUUUUCAACGCGCUCACUACUCUGUUUUAUAUAAGAAAACAUACACAACUUUUAACAACGGAUCUCUUGGUUCUC
Molecule: unclassified non-coding RNA, 188 nt
Filed under: rhizosphere metagenome
Description: partial ribosomal RNA internal transcribed spacer region
Source: RNAcentral